GUGCUCGCUUCGACAGCACAUAUACUAAAACUGGAAGAUACAGAGAUUAGCAUGGCCCUUGCGCAAGGAUGACACGAAAAUUCAUGAAGCGUUCCACAUUUUU
Molecule: small nuclear RNA, 103 nt
Organism: Phodopus roborovskii (desert hamster)
Lineage: Eukaryota; Metazoa; Chordata; Mammalia; Rodentia; Cricetidae
Source: RefSeq, a predicted model, not a curated record